UAUCUUUGUUGGAUCUUUACUGUGGUU
Molecule: unclassified non-coding RNA, 27 nt
Filed under: Mus musculus (house mouse)
Lineage: Eukaryota; Metazoa; Chordata; Mammalia; Rodentia; Muridae
Description: piRNA piR-mmu-68127381
Source: RNAcentral